RNAcentral lists this ribosomal RNA (555 nucleotides) under Sporothrix schenckii. RNAcentral's name for it is "eukaryotic LSU rRNA". It matches the Rfam family "Eukaryotic large subunit ribosomal RNA", at positions 49 to 628 of the family's 3401-position model. The record is from RNAcentral. Lineage: Eukaryota; Fungi; Ascomycota; Sordariomycetes; Ophiostomatales; Ophiostomataceae.
AGUGUAGGAAAAGAAACCAACAGGGAUUGCCCCAGUAACGGCGAGUGAAGCGGCAACAGCUCAAAUUUGAAAUCUGGCCCCCCGGCCCGAGUUGUAAUUUGGAGAGGAUGCUUUUGGCGCGGCGCCGUCCGAGUUCCUUGGAACAGGACGCCACAGAGGGUGAGAGCCCCGUACGGACGGACGCCUAGCCUCUACAAAGCUCCUUCGACGAGUCGAGUAGUUUGGGAAUGCUGCUCAAAAUGGGAGGUAAAUUUCUUCUAAAGCUAAAUACCGGCCAGAGACCGAUAGCGCACAAGUAGAGUGAUCGAAAGAUGAAAAGCACUUUGAAAAGAGGGUUAAAAAGUACGUGAAAUUGUUGAAAGGGAAGCGCCUGUGACCAGACUUGCGCCCCGUGGACCACCCGGCGUUCUCGCCGGUGCACUCCGCGGGGCGCAGGCCAGCAUCGGUUUUCCUAGGGGGACAAAGGCCGCGGGAACGUAGCUCCUUCGGGAGUGUUAUAGCCCGCGGCGGCAUGCCCCUGGGGGGACCGAGGACCGCGCUUCGGCAAGGAUGCUA